ACCUCACGAGAUCAAAGGACUUCU
This 24-nucleotide non-coding RNA is filed under the name Cricetulus griseus (Chinese hamster). The record is from RNAcentral. Lineage: Eukaryota; Metazoa; Chordata; Mammalia; Rodentia; Cricetidae.